This is a non-coding RNA of Meleagris gallopavo (turkey), 910 nucleotides long. NCBI's taxonomy places the organism in Eukaryota, Metazoa, Chordata, Aves, Galliformes, Phasianidae. The record is from RefSeq and is a predicted model, not a curated record.
CACGGAAAAGCGAACAUGACAGAAUCGAUGAGAUGAUCCUCUUCAACUUUUGGAUAAUUUAAUAGCACGAGUUUCACAGAUAAAUCUUUAAGCCUGAAGAUGAGAUGCUACAAUUAAUGUAUGUGUCUGCGUUCAUUUAAAAUUCACAAAGACAAACACUCAGGAUCUGAGUCCAUAGUGUCAGGCAGCCAGAGGGAACAAGCCAAGAAAGAUUUAGUAAGUUAGAAGACGAAUGCUGAGAUACAACCAAACUCUUCUGCAAAGCAAGGUAUGGUGUGAGCUUAGCUUCUCGGGACUCUCGUGGGGGAAAAUCUCAGUUGGAUGAACUAUUGCUGCCAAAGGAGUUAGGAGGACAAUCUCUGGUCUGGGAAUGACUGAACAACUGCCAGAGAGAUAUGAAGUGAGCUGGAAAAUAUUGCGUUCAGAUUUUUUAAUGAGAUUGUGGCGGAGGUCUUGGAAACGGAAGGGUCACUUCCAAGUUUCUGCAUGAAGGUUUAUAUAAAAUGAAAAAGAUCUGGUUUGAAGUAUUUGUCAUGGUUGUUGAAUUAGCAAAAACCUUGCUAAACACUUCGCUCAGCUACAAGCAGGAACCAUGCUUGCCUCAAAGCUUGACCAGAGGCAGCUGCCUGACACAUGAGAAGGUGGAGAAUGUUCGCCUCAAAGCGGGUCUGAUGGAACUCAACGGAGACAGGACCUGCCAAAGAAGUUCUAGAUGUUAAUGGCUGACUACCAUGAGCACAGGAAUAAGAGGACAGAUAGAUUGUCACACCUGAAGAAGAAAAAUGCGGGGGUAGUCUGACAGAUAUUAAUACAGUAAAUAAAGUGUCUGAGAAGAGCAGUAGAAAAGACAAGUAUGGAAAAUAAAGAAAGGAGAUAAAACAGGUGUUGGACUCCAUCUCAUCUCAUCUCA